This 525-nucleotide ribosomal RNA is filed under the name Bifidobacterium pseudocatenulatum. RNAcentral describes it as "bacterial SSU rRNA". It matches the Rfam family "Bacterial small subunit ribosomal RNA", at positions 154 to 691 of the family's 1533-position model. Lineage: Bacteria; Bacillati; Actinomycetota; Actinomycetes; Bifidobacteriales; Bifidobacteriaceae. The record is from RNAcentral.
AAACGGGUGGUAAUGCCGGAUGCUCCGACUCCUCGCAUGGGGUGUCGGGAAAGAUUUCAUCGGUAUGGGAUGGGGUCGCGUCCUAUCAGGUAGUCGGCGGGGUAACGGCCCACCGAGCCUACGACGGGUAGCCGGCCUGAGAGGGCGACCGGCCACAUUGGGACUGAGAUACGGCCCAGACUCCUACGGGAGGCAGCAGUGGGGAAUAUUGCACAAUGGGCGCAAGCCUGAUGCAGCGACGCCGCGUGCGGGAUGACGGCCUUCGGGUUGUAAACCGCUUUUGAUCGGGAGCAAGCCUUCGGGUGAGUGUACCUUUCGAAUAAGCACCGGCUAACUACGUGCCAGCAGCCGCGGUAAUACGUAGGGUGCAAGCGUUAUCCGGAAUUAUUGGGCGUAAAGGGCUCGUAGGCGGUUCGUCGCGUCCGGUGUGAAAGUCCAUCGCUUAACGGUGGAUCUGCGCCGGGUACGGGCGGGCUGGAGUGCGGUAGGGGAGACUGGAAUUCCCGGUGUAACGGUGGAAUGUGU